RNAcentral lists this ribosomal RNA (497 nucleotides) under uncultured bacterium. RNAcentral's name for it is "partial 16S ribosomal RNA". It matches the Rfam family "Bacterial small subunit ribosomal RNA", at positions 28 to 507 of the family's 1533-position model. The record is from RNAcentral.
GAUGAACGCUGGCGGCGUGCCUAAUACAUGCAAGUCGAGCGAACAGACGAGGAGCUUGCUCCUCUGACGUUAGCGGCGGACGGGUGAGUAACACGUGGAUAACCUACCUAUAAGACUGGGAUAACUUCGGGAAACCGGAGCUAAUACCGGAUAACAUGUUGAACCGCAUGGUUCAACAGUGAAAGACGGUCUUGCUGUCACUUAUAGAUGGAUCCGCGCCGCAUUAGCUAGUUGGUAAGGUAACGGCUUACCAAGGCAACGAUGCGUAGCCGACCUGAGAGGGUGAUCGGCCACACUGGAACUGAGACACGGUCCAGACUCCUACGGGAGGCAGCAGUAGGGAAUCUUCCGCAAUGGGCGAAAGCCUGACGGAGCAACGCCGCGUGAGUGAAGAAGGUCUUCGGAUCGUAAAACUCUGUUAUUAGGGAAGAACAAAUGUGUAAGUAACUCUGCACGUCUUGACGGUACCUAAUCAGAAAGCCACGGCUAACUACGUG